CCAUUAGAUGUUCUGGGCUGCACGCGCGCUACACUGAUGCACUCAACGAGUUUACGACCUUGCCCGAUAGGGUUGGGUAAUCUUUUUAAAAUGCAUCGUGAUGGGGAUAGAUUAUUGCAAUUAUUAAUCUUCAACGAGGAAUUCCUAGUAAGCGCGAGUCAUCAGCUCGUGCUGAUUACGUCCCUGCCCUUUGUACACACCGCCCGUCGCUCCUACCGAUUGAGUGCUCAGGUGAAUAAUUCGGACUGCAGCAAUGUUUGGAUCCCGAACGUUGCAGCGGAAAGUUUAGUGAACCUUAUCACUUAGAGGAAGGAGAAGUCGUAACA
This 326-nucleotide ribosomal RNA is filed under the name uncultured eukaryote. RNAcentral's name for it is "partial 18S ribosomal RNA". It matches the Rfam family "Eukaryotic small subunit ribosomal RNA", at positions 1470 to 1796 of the family's 1831-position model. The record is from RNAcentral.